CGCCAUUUUCUUUCUGAGUAUUUGUUACACGGCGUGCUGCGAGGAAAAGCCUGUUCUAACGUUUGAGUCUAAGGAUUAUUUUGAGCACUUGACGGCUCGUUUUUGCUUUUCAUUCGUAAACUCUCUCGAAACUCUUUCAUGUGAUUCUUGUGUAGGUGGUUAAAGAGGUUUGUCGUGUUUGAGUGGUGGUGGGGACCAGUUUGUGUCAGACUUUUCAUAACCAAACCAUGUCCAUGCUACAGAGGUAGCCCCUCGUUUAACAAUAAGGUCCUCGAUUUGUUUUGACUGGUCCAUCUGCUUGGAGCUAGCUGGUUCUGCCUCAUCCUUGCUGGCCAUGCUGGUAUUCUCUGUGCCUUCAUCUGCGUGGUGACUAAUAAAUUGCGACUAGUCUCAAUGGCUGAGAUGGAGGAGCAACACAGCGACACGUUAACCCGACUGCUGCAGUUCCUGUAUGAACUGAGCAACUCUAAAAAUCCAAGGAAAAGCUGAGUGUAUUUUAUUUAAAGCUCAGACGGACCUUGAUGGACUAACAUGCAGGCUGCAUUCAGGACUUUGUCACACUGGUAUAUGAAGAGUGGUAACAAGAGAAAUUGUGCACACACAACGUGUCACUUUAUGCUUGCUCUUCUCCAGCCUCUGGUGUCACUUUGUAGUAAUUAGUCUUACUAUUGUCUUAUUUGUUGUGAUUUAGGGUGUGUGCGCACAAGCAGAGGUUUUUGUUUGUAACCGUAACCUCGUUUUCAGAGCCUUGUCUAACAUUUAUAUGUCAGACUUUUUCCUCUACUUAAACAGCUAAGAGCAUUUGAACACAGUUGAGAAAAAGGUGUGCAUUAAGGAUUUUGAACUAUGAUGUUUAAGUGUUGUCACUGCUGAGGAUCCUUAUUCACUACGCUGCUGUUUACAGUUUAACUUUUCAUCAGAACAAGCACUUCUAAUUGUACUUUGCUCCUCACUGACAAAACAAGUCCAGUAAAUGCACUUUUAUCUUUAAGUUUGGGACAGUAAUCUGUCUUAAUUUAUUUUGUGCUUUAGUUAUCAUAUGGGGAAAGGUUCUGUGGUUAUCUAUCCGUCCUGUUUGCAUAAACCCGAAGUUCAGGAACAUCUUCUUUAGAUCUGUUCAGUUUUAUUCAUGUGGCACGACUUAAACAGUCAAGUAUGUUAUAUUGUAAGGUAAAGACCCCAAAGAGUUAAUCUCGGACAAAUGUUCACACAAAUGUGAAUUACAUUCACUUCAAUGAAGUAAAUGCAAUUCAGUAAUCAAAUGUGUUUGGCUAUAACUGACUACAUGUGUAUACUGUACCAUAAGUGGACAGACAUAGAUGUAAACCACACCUUAACCAUUUGGCUGAGGCAAAACUACCACAAGGCAGUGAUUCUAACUAAAAGGUACUCUGGAUAUUAUUAAAUGUGAACAUAUCGUUAAAUAUGACUUAACUAUAUUUUUGUUUGUCAGGUGUCCUGUUUGAAGAAAACACUUGGUAGCCACUUGAAUGAAUGUAAAUAAACACAUUUACAUGAGGGCAACCUGAUUUCAAGGAAAUAAAUAUGCUUAAAUUUGAAA
Long non-coding RNA from Oreochromis aureus, 1561 nucleotides. RefSeq lists it as uncharacterized. NCBI's taxonomy places the organism in Eukaryota, Metazoa, Chordata, Actinopteri, Cichliformes, Cichlidae. The record is from RefSeq and is a predicted model, not a curated record. The transcript is spliced from 2 exons.